CUUACAGUGCCCCCACCAUCGUAGAUAUUGUAGCAACUAGGAACACAGACACAGGUGGUGCAUGACUGUUGUCAGAUCGUGUCAUAAGGUGUUGGGUUAAGUCUCGCAACGACCACAACCUCGUGUUUAGUUAUCAACGUUGAGUUUAGAACGCUGAGUAGACUGUCGAUGAUAAGACAAAGGAAGGUGAGGGGAUAAUGUCAAGUCAUCAUGGCCCUUAUG
This 222-nucleotide non-coding RNA is filed under the name Cajanus cajan (pigeon pea). RNAcentral's name for it is "Bacterial small subunit ribosomal RNA". It matches the Rfam family "Bacterial small subunit ribosomal RNA", at positions 980 to 1206 of the family's 1533-position model. Lineage: Eukaryota; Viridiplantae; Streptophyta; Magnoliopsida; Fabales; Fabaceae. The record is from Rfam by way of RNAcentral.